ACUCCGAGGGGAUGCAGCAGCAAUUCAUGUUUUGAAGUGCUUUAAACGGUUCAAAACGUGAGGCGCUGCUAUACCCCCUCGAGAGGAAGUUGGAAGAGGGAGUUCUGCUGGACGUGCGUUCCUACGGGGCGCUGGCUGCCAAGGAGAACUCUGGAGCAGAAGGAGGCCCUGCAGCAGCUGGCGCCCACCCUCCGAGAGGACCACGCCAGCACCAUCCGGCUCCCUCCAGCGGGACCCAGGAUUUUUUGAAGGUAUCCAGCUUCUCCAGUUAGCAGUACUGAUUUUUUCCCCCCAACAAAGGAACACUACAUCAACACCCUUGGCCGGGAUCUGGACACAGAAGACUCCUGUUUCAAGAAAACACAAUCAUCUCUCAAAUCCUGUAAUUUAUAUGCAUUUUAAACUCACUAGGUAUUAAAAACCACCCAAGUGUCCCACAACAUGGGGUAUAAUAUAAUCAAUCACUCAGUGUAAUAUUAUACAUCCUUUAAAAAUGUUAUUGGAAAAUGUUUUAUGAUCUGUAAGUCGAAAUAACCCUCUCCCACCCUUCCUUUCUCCCUGCUGCUCCCUUAUACCCACACUACUUUGUUCCAAUUGGCAUGUAAACUUGCUUUUCCCGCCAAAUGAGUCAGUCAUGAUGGGAGCGUCAAUUGAUUUGAACAGAUGUGUGUCAAUAUUACUUGGAAAACUAGAUGCCAAUAACCAGGGCCACAAAAAAAAAAAGCAGUGGUUGCAACUCUGUAAAAAUUUAUAUGUGCAUACAGACAAGCACUAUAGUGGAACCCCAAACAGGAAACUAGUUGGAUAUACUCUAGUGCUGGGAGAGUAAAUGACUGUAAGAUGCUUUUGAUUUCCAUUAAUAUGGGCAACUGUCCAAUUAAAAAAAGACCUACUAAGGA
Molecule: RNA transcript, 899 nt
Organism: Vicugna pacos (alpaca)
Lineage: Eukaryota; Metazoa; Chordata; Mammalia; Artiodactyla; Camelidae
Source: RefSeq, a predicted model, not a curated record